Molecule: unclassified non-coding RNA, 353 nt
Filed under: Bombus terrestris (buff-tailed bumblebee)
Lineage: Eukaryota; Metazoa; Arthropoda; Insecta; Hymenoptera; Apidae
Description: misc RNA ENSBTSG00005036789.1
Source: RNAcentral
CUUCCCGGUAACAUCGGCAAUGCUUAUCACAUUGGCCGCGCACCAGUCCGAAGACCUCACUAAAUCAUUCAAUCGGUAGUAGCGACGGGCGGUGUGUACAAAGGGCAGGGACGUAAUCAACGCGAGCUUAUGACUCGCGCUUACUGGGAAUUCCUCGUUCAUGGGGAAUAAUUGCAAGCCCCAAUCCCUAGCACGAAGGAGGUUCAGCGGGUUACCCGGGCCUUUCGGCCAGGGAAAACACGCUGAUUCCUUCAGUGUAGCGCGCGUGCGGCCCAGAACAUCUAAGGGCAUCACAGACCUCUAUCAAUCUGUCAAUCCUUCCGGUGUCCGGGCCUGGUGAGGUUUCCCGUGUU